AUGUCAAACACUCACAGCAUUGGGAAGGUGAUGUUCCUAACAGCUGUUGCCAAGCCUCGAUAUAACAAUGAGGGGGAGCUAACAUUCGAUGGGAAGAUCAGCAUUUGGGCAUUCGUCGAAGAGAUUGAGGCAAAGCGGACAAGUCAAAAUAGAACAAAGGGAACAAAAGUGUUGACAUUAGUGAAAGAUAAGUGGCCUGACGAUGAUGAGGGAGCGACAAUAUUCAUCCAACAGGAUAACGCAAAGCCUCAUGUCCUUCCCAAUGAUGUAGCUUUUCAAGAAGCUGUGGAACAAACUGAUCUUGACAUCCGAUUGCUACAACAGCCCCCAAAUAGCCCCGAGUUAAAUUGUUUGGACCUUUGCUUCCAUAACUCUCUCCAAUCUCUAACCGACUGCAGGUCACCUACAAACAUCCAGGAACUGGUACAGGGUGUGGAAGAGGAAUUCGAGAACUACGAUCCCGACAAGUUGCACAGAAGCUUUAUCACAUUAGAAGCAGUUAUGUUUGAAGUUAUGAAAGCCAAAGGAGGAAAUCAAUAUAAGUUGCCCCACUUGCACAAGGAUCGCGUUCAGAAUGCUGGAAUGGAAAUAACCGGUGUAUAUUGCGACAGUCGGGUAGUUGUUGAUACGAGGGUCAUUAUAGAAUAA
Molecule: ribosomal RNA, 648 nt
Filed under: Triticum aestivum (bread wheat)
Lineage: Eukaryota; Viridiplantae; Streptophyta; Magnoliopsida; Poales; Poaceae
Description: partial small subunit ribosomal RNA
Source: RNAcentral